UCUUCUAAAUGGCAGGUCUUGCUGCUCCGYGGGGCUAGAAAGGAAACCUGUCACUCACCGCUGUGCUUUGAAUGGCACGACUCUGUCUGCACACCCGCCCUCCCUCCWGUAUGGGACAAAACACUUGCUCCAAGCACACYGACUGUCUYCUUCACUGCAGCUUGCUCUUAGUAGCACAGGCAGUAAACAAAAGGGCAGGAGGAAUGUUCUCAUCCUCCUGRUGGUGAUACUGGUGGAUACUGGUGAUGAGAGGAGCUCUGUAAAGAAUAGACAUGGGAUUUAGUAAGGUACUAAGGUUGUCUCUUGACCUACUAAAGGACACACCUGAAGAACACUGAACGAGAUCCAAACUUAAAAGGUCUUCAUUAUCCUUUUC
Long non-coding RNA from Nothoprocta perdicaria, 376 nucleotides. RefSeq lists it as uncharacterized. Lineage: Eukaryota; Metazoa; Chordata; Aves; Tinamiformes; Tinamidae. The record is from RefSeq and is a predicted model, not a curated record. The transcript is spliced from 2 exons.